GAUGAACGCUGGCGGCGUGCCUAAUACAUGCAAGUCGAGCGAACAGACGAGGAGCUUGCUCCUCUGACGUUAGCGGCGGACGGGUGAGUAACACGUGGAUAACCUACCUAUCAGACUGGGAUAACUUCGGGAAACCGGAGCUAAUACCGGAUAAUAUAUUGAACCGCAUGGUUCAAUAGUGAAAGACGGUUUUGCUGUCACUUAUAGAUGGAUCCGCGUCGCAUUAGCUAGUUGGUAAGGUAACGGCUUACCAAGGCAACGAUGCGUAGCCGACCUCAGAGGGAGAACGCCCACCCUGGAACUGAGAAACGGUCCAGACUCAUACGGGAGGAAACAGUAGGGAAUCUUCCGCAAUGGGCGAAAGCCUGACGGAGCAACGCCGCGGGAGUGAUGAAGGUCUUCGGACCGUAAAAUUCUGUAAUUAGGGAAGAACAAAUGUGUAAGUAACUAUGCACGUCUUGACGGUACCUAAUCAGAAAGCCACGGCUAACUACGUG
This 497-nucleotide ribosomal RNA is filed under the name uncultured bacterium. Its description in RNAcentral is "partial 16S ribosomal RNA". It matches the Rfam family "Bacterial small subunit ribosomal RNA", at positions 28 to 507 of the family's 1533-position model. The record is from RNAcentral.